Non-coding RNA from Camellia sinensis, 2808 nucleotides. Lineage: Eukaryota; Viridiplantae; Streptophyta; Magnoliopsida; Ericales; Theaceae. The record is from RefSeq and is a predicted model, not a curated record.
AACGCGCAACCACGAGUCGUCUCGCCUUUGGGCUCAUCCAGACGCGCACGACUCUACAUGUAGAGAGAGAAAACCUAGAGAGAGAGAGAGAAAAACAGAGCAUUCUUCAGUUUUCUUCUCUUCUAGCGGAAUCUGAAAAUUAGGGUUUUAACGGGAUAGAUACAGAAUUUAUCAACAUCUCAAUCUGUGUUUGGGGUUCGGAUUAGGGUUUGGUUUAUCAUUUCUUUUUUCUAAUGUGCUAUUAGGCCUUCUAUUGCAAGGUCUUAAUCCGUUCCUGUUUGUUAAUAUAGUGCGCUCUCUCUCUCUCUCUCUCUAUACAUAUAUAUAUAAUAAAAUAAAAUAAAUUGGAAAUUUAAUGGACGAGAUCUGGGAAAGGGCGGUGGAGACAGCGCUCGACGGCCAAACAGACCUCGCUUCGGUUAGAACCCUAACCCUAGACGGAGCAGUGAAGUGCUUUCAUGGUCGUCUUCCUCCUCCAUCCCGCGUCGAGAAAUUCCAGAACCUUCAACAUCUCUCCCUCGCAAACAUCGGUCUAUCGUCGCUCGACCAUUUUCCUCGCCUCAAAAACCUUCAAAAACUCAUUUUGUCCGACAAUCGCAUCGCCGGUGGCCUUGAACUUCUCGUCGAAGCUGGUCUUGAAUUGCUUCGAGACCUCGAUUUAUCUAACAAUCGAAUUCAGGACAUCAAUGAUCUGAAGCCUCUUAGGGAGCUUAAGCUUGUCUCUCUUGAUCUCUAUGAGUGUCCGGUCACGCGGGUGAAGGAUUAUCGUUCUAGAGUUUUUGGAUUGAUUAAGUCGUUGAAGUACUUGGAUAAAAUGGACGCGGAAGAGAAUGAAAGGCCCGAGUCUGAGGAUGAUGAGGACGAAGAGGAUGAUCCCGGGAGUGGUGAAAUUGAUGGUGAGGAUCGGUCGUAUAGGAUGAGUAACGGACAUAGUGCGGGUGGUGAAGGGGUUAUUGAUGUUGAUGAGGAUGAAGAGAGUGAUGCUGAUGGAGAGGAGAGGGAAAUGCUGCGAGGGUCAGGCGGAUGGAAUCCGGCUUCAUUGAAUCAUUAUUCAAAUGUUUUUGGGGUUGUGGCUACUGGUGAUAGAGAGGAAGAAGAGGAGGGUGAGGAUGAUAAUGACUUGGUGGAAGAGAUUGAUGAAGAGGAGGAUGAGGAUGAGGAUGAGGAUGAGGUUUAUGAAAUAGAUGACAGUGAUGAUGAUGAAGAUGAGGUUGAAGAUGAUGUGGAUGAUGAAGACAGUGAGGAUGAAGAGGAAGUUGACAAUGACGAGGGGGAUUUUGGAGAACUGGAGAGUACUGGACGAUUGGUGAGUACAGAAGGGGAGAUCGAUGGACAUGAGCAGGGGGAGGAAGAUGGAGAGGAGGAUGAUGGAGAAACUGGGGAGGAAGGACAAUGUGUUGAAGAAGAUGGAGUGUUUGAAGAAGAGGAAGAUGCUGAGGAGGAGGACGAUGAUUAUGCAGGCUACUUACUUCAACCUGUAAGACGGGCUGAAGAAAAUGCUGGAGGCAGUGAUAUUGACCUUGGCAAUGAUAGUGAUCCUGAAAUGGAGGAAGAUGUUGAGUAUGAAGAUGAAGAUGGAGAUGGAGAUGAAGAUGAUGCAGUUCAAGUGCAACCACCAUCCUCUUCACAUAAGAGGAAGAGAGAUGAGGAUGACAGUGAGGAAGAAGAUGAUGAUGUUGGGUAUGCCAAGUCAUCGAAACACCGUUAGCAAUAAUCAGAUUUUCCUGUGUGAAUAUGGCUAAGUUGGUUCUACUAUGGAAAGAAAAGAAAGAAUUUCACAAGAGAAUUGGUGAGGAGGAGGCAGCGGCGGCGGCUGGUAGUUACUCUUUAGCCCUGUGUGGACAAGUAUUUUGGAAGGAAUUAUACCUUGGAUGGCAUGGCACUACUUGUUCGAAAGGUUGUUAGUUUGUUGUUCCCUCCCUUCCCUUGCCUUCCUUACAGAGUGGCAUAUUUUGAAUUGGCUUGUUAAAACAGUUGUAAAUAGCCUUAUGAUGCAUGCGUUCCAUUCAGUCAUGCGGGGGCUUCAAAAUCCGUAAUUAAUUCCUGUCCCUUGCCACGUGUAUCUCUGUGAGCUACUUUACUUUUCUUAUCUUACUAAUAAUGGGGGAUAUUGCAGAUGUGUAGGGCAGAUGGCUGUGUGAUGGAAUGAAGUGAUACGAGGCAGUUUUAUUCUGUACUCUCCUCGAAUUUCCUGGAAUAAUGCAAUAAUUUUUGAAUCUGCACGAUUAUGUCGUGAUCAUGUGGAAUUUGCGUGAAUUAGGAGGGCGGAUUUAUUUAUUAUAUUUAAUUUCAACUUUGGAUUAAAUAUUCAGCCGUAUGGCAUUGUCUUGUCUCGCUUAUACGAUCUCCUCUUGUUUUUAGUGCAGGUUAUGAUAAAAAGUCUUUUAAGUUGUUGGCCUCAUCAUUUAUAAAUUAUAUGUAUGAUAGUACAGCUGUCGGUACAUUAUUGGAUAAUGAGUGGAACUGUGUGCUACUGUACAGUUGGAAUGCAAUUCAUGCUCACACCGUCUUGAGUGUGUAUUGGCUCGGCUCUUCAUCCUUUAGCACAAGUUGGUCGACUCCUACACGUAUUGACGCCGAGUUUCGAACUUUGUAGCGGGCUCCUAGUUUCUCUGCUAAGCUCGAGCAGCUGAUUCUAUUCUUCGGCAAUGACGGGCACCAAGCCAAGUGUUUUGCAGAAUAUAAUUUUGUAUAUUCUUUUCUUUUUCUUUUUUUUAAAAUAUUUUUCUUCUUAUCACAUUAUUAUAAUGAAUUUUAUUUCAAAUAUCAAAAUUUGUCAUAUGUUAAAAAAAAAAAAAAAUUAUAGAA